AUAAUUCAGAAUACCACUGUCUGGCAAUACACCUAAUGCAACCUUAGAGCUGUAGUCUCUACUUACUAUCUAUUAGUUUGGUUCCCAACUAAAGAUAAAGUUGGAGAGAUGCAUGGAGACCAGAUGCUUGCUAGACAAUAUUUCUUGAUAGCUAUCAAAAUGAAGAAGCCAAUGGAAGCUUUGCUGAUUGAAGUACCUAACAA
Molecule: long non-coding RNA, 203 nt
Filed under: Elaeis guineensis (African oil palm)
Lineage: Eukaryota; Viridiplantae; Streptophyta; Magnoliopsida; Arecales; Arecaceae
Description: long non-coding RNA (EGUI_LNC031193)
Source: RNAcentral